UGGGGAAUAUUGGACAAUGGGCGCAAGCCUGAUCCAGCCAUGCCGCGUGAGUGAUGAAGGCCUUAGGGUUGUAAAGCUCUUUCAGCGAGGAGGAUAAUGACGUUACUCGCAGAAGAAGCCCCGGCUAACUUCGUGCC
Molecule: ribosomal RNA, 137 nt
Filed under: uncultured bacterium
Lineage: Bacteria
Description: partial 16S ribosomal RNA
Rfam family: Bacterial small subunit ribosomal RNA
Source: RNAcentral